AUGGCGCCCAGCGGCAAGUCCAGCCCCUCUACCGACGGCGCCGCCUCCACGGCGGACCGCAAGCCGUGGCGGCGGCCGCAGAUGAAGUCGAAGGCGGCGGGCAAGAAGAAGGCGGCGCAGGCGGCGCACAACAAGAAGCCCAAGUCGGGCGGGUUCGAGUCCAUGGGGCUCUGCGAGGAGGUCUACCGCGGGGUGCGCCACAAGGGGUACCGCGUGCCCACGCCCAUCCAGCGCAAGGCGAUGCCGCUCAUCCUCGCCGGGCUCGACGUCGCCGCCAUGGCCCGCACGGGCUCCGGCAAGACCGCCGCCUUCCUCGUGCCCAUGCUCCAGCGCCUCCGCCACCGCGACCCCGGCGCCGGCAUCCGCGCCCUCAUCCUCUCCCCCACCCGCGACCUCGCCACGCAGACGCUCAAGUUCACCCACCAGCUCGGCAAGUUCUCCGAUCUAAAAACUGGCCUAAUUGUUGGUGGAGGUAGUAUGGAGAGUCAGUUUGAAGUAUUGGCUGAUAAUCCUGAUAUAAUAAUUGCAACACCUGGUAGGUUUGAGCACAUCUUGUCAAUGGUUGAUGACUUGUCACUGCGAUCAGUAGAAUAUGUUGUAUUUGAUGAAGCGGAUUCCCUCUUUAGUUUGGGGUUCGCUGAGCAGUUACACAAAAUUCUACACAAGUUGAGUGAUACAAGGCAAACAUUGCUCUUCAGUGCUACUAUGCCGAAAGCCCUUGCAGAAUUCGCAAAAGCUGGCUUGCGUGAUCCCCAAGUCAUAAGACUUGAUUUGGACAAAAAGAUCAGCCCUGAUCUGAAGCUUGCCUUUUUCACACUGCGUCAGGAAGAGAAACUAGCUGCUUUGCUGUAUUUGGUCCGGGAGCGUAUCAGCUCUGAGGAGCAGACAAUGAUAUUUGUUUCAACGAAGUAUCAUGUAGAGUUCUUGAAUAUUCUUUUCCGAGAAGAGGGCUUAGAAGCUUCCCUUUCCUAUGGUGCCAUGGAUCAAGAAGCCCGCACUAUUCACAUUUCAAGAUUCAGGGCAAGGAAGACCAUGCUACUUAUAGUGACAGAUGUUGCUGCAAGGGGUCUGGAUAUUCCAUUGCUUGAUAAUGUAGUGAACUGGGACUUUCCUGCUAAACCGAAGUUGUUUAUUCAUAGAGUUGGCCGAGUAGCUCGGCAAGGUAGAACUGGUACAGCAUUUACAUUUGUCACUUCAGAGGACAUGCCAUUUUUACUGGACCUACAUCUCUUUCUUUCAAAACCUCUUAGACCUGCUCCAACGGAGGAGGAACUGCUGAAAGACAUGGAUGGAAUGAAUUUAAAAAUCAACCAAUCUCUUGCUGAUGGGGAAACGAUAUAUGGCCGUUUUCCUCAGACAGUACUUGAUCUUUGCUCUGAUGGAGUAAAAGAAGUCAUCAGUGGAUGCACAGAUUUGAUUGCAUUGGAAAAGCCAUGCGCUAAUGCUUUCCGCUUGUAUCUGAAGACCCGCGCUAUGCCUUCAAAAGAAUCUGUCAGAAGGGCAAAAGAUUUGCCUCGUGAAGGUCUUCAUCCAAUUUUCAGAGAUGUUCUUAGACCAGAUGAAAUUUCAGCUAUUGCGUUCUCGGAGCGGCUGAAAUCAUUUCGGCCAAAGCAGACUAUUCUAGAGGCUGAAGGUGAAGCUGCUAGAUCAAGAAGUUCUAAAGGUAGCAAUCAAUGGCUAGAUGUGAUGAAGAAGAAAAGAGAAGUCCAUGAGGGGAUCAUAAAUUUGGUGCAUGAACAGUCUGGUGAUCUGGCAACAAAGGAAGAAGAUACAGAAAACAUUUCUAAUUGGGAGAAAAAAGAAGUUUGUGGUAAGAAGCGGAAGUCACAGAGCUUUAGAGAUGAGGAUCACUACAUAAGUUCGGUGCCUCAAAACCAACAUUCAGAAGCUGGGUUGUCAGUAAAGGGAAAUGAAGGAUUUGUUCAAGAUAGAUUGGAUGCUGCUGUCCUUGAUUUGGUCGAUGAUGAAACUUCUGGAAUGCAAGCCCAGAAAACUCGAUAUCACUGGAUGAAGAACAAGUUUGUCAAGUUGAAUAAUGGGGAUCGUGUCACUUCUACAGGAAAGAUUAAAACGGAAAGCAGUGCCAAGAUUAAGGCAAGUAAAGAUAUCUAUAAGAAAUGGCAGCAGAAGUCACAUAGAGCAAUCGGUUCUGGUGGAAAAGAUGGUGCAGAAGGAGGCAUAUCCACACCAGCUGGCUAUCAAAGAGGAAACAGAAGAUACCCUGCAGCCGGUCGCGGGCGUUCGUCUAUACCAAAUGCUGAUGUGCCAUCAGAGAUAAGAAAUCCCCAACAGAUGCGGAAGGGCAGGCAAGAAAAGGCGAUGCAAAAUCUGCGCAGGAAUGAGAAAUCUGCAAGAGACAGUAAAUCUCCCGGGAAGUUCCAGAAAAACAGGAGGCCUAAUGGAUCUGGCAGAGAUGAUAAAUUCCAAGACAGUAGAUCCCAGAAGAGCCGAAGACCAGACGGGAAAGGGAAAGGGGGCGGAAAAGGGAACGCCAAAGGGUUUGGUAAAGGUAAAGGAAAAGGCAAAGGCAACCCCAAAGGGAGGGGUACCAGGUGA
RNAcentral lists this ribosomal RNA (2556 nucleotides) under Triticum aestivum (bread wheat). Its description in RNAcentral is "partial small subunit ribosomal RNA". Lineage: Eukaryota; Viridiplantae; Streptophyta; Magnoliopsida; Poales; Poaceae. The record is from RNAcentral.